GGGAGCUUGCUCCCUGAUGUUAGCGGCGGACGGGUGAGUAACACGUGGGUAACCUGCCUGUAAGACUGGGAUAACUCCGGGAAACCGGGGCUAAUACCGGAUGGUUGUUUGAACCGCAUGGUUCAAACAUAAAAGGUGGCUUCGGCUACCACUUACAGAUGGACCCGCGGCGCAUUAGCUAGUUGGUGAGGUAACGGCUCACCAAGGCGACGAUGCGUAGCCGACCUGAGAGGGUGAUCGGCCACACUGGGACUGAGACACGGCCCAGACUCCUACGGGAGGCAGCAGUAGGGAAUCUUCCGCAAUGGACGAAAGUCUGACGGAGCAACGCCGCGUGAGUGAUGAAGGUUUUCGGAUCGUAAAGCUCUGUUGUUAGGGAAGAACAAGUACCGUUCGAAUAGGGCGGUACCUUGACGGUACCUAACCAGAAAGCCACGGCUAACUACGUGCCAGCAGCCGCGGUAAUACGUAGGUGGCAAGCGUUGUCCGGAAUUAUUGGGCGUAAAGGGCUCGCAGGCGGUUUCUUAAGUCUGAUGUGAAAGCCCCCGGCUCAACCGGGGGAGGGUCAUUGGAAACUGGGGAACUUGAGUGCAGAAGAGGAGAGUGGAACUCCACGUGUAGCGGUGAAAU
This 630-nucleotide ribosomal RNA is filed under the name Vibrio parahaemolyticus. Its description in RNAcentral is "bacterial SSU rRNA". It matches the Rfam family "Bacterial small subunit ribosomal RNA", at positions 74 to 687 of the family's 1533-position model. Lineage: Bacteria; Pseudomonadati; Pseudomonadota; Gammaproteobacteria; Vibrionales; Vibrionaceae. The record is from RNAcentral.